This 101-nucleotide small nuclear RNA is filed under the name Nippostrongylus brasiliensis. Lineage: Eukaryota; Metazoa; Nematoda; Chromadorea; Rhabditida; Heligmosomidae. The record is from RNAcentral.
GUUCAUUCCUGAACAUAUAGAAAAUUGCAACAAUACAGAGGAAAUUAACAUGGCCCCUGCGAAAGCAUGUCACAAAACCUUUGCAGGUAGAUGUUAUCUAC